Molecule: long non-coding RNA, 769 nt
Organism: Helianthus annuus (common sunflower)
Lineage: Eukaryota; Viridiplantae; Streptophyta; Magnoliopsida; Asterales; Asteraceae
Exons: 4
Source: RefSeq, a predicted model, not a curated record
GUACUCCACCGCCUUAGAGCGAGAGAAUGCUGCAAACGAUGGCCGGAGGAAAGAGAGAGAUCGGAGAAGAGAAGGAAGGAAGACAAACGACGGCCGGAGGAGAGAGAUCGGAGGAGAGACGACGGCCGAAGGUGUGCUAGAUCGGAUGAUGCGCCGGCUCUUACACUGAUGACGGUCAAGCGGUUAGGGUUUCGAUCAACUUCCGUAGGUAACGUCCGGUGAGUUUCCGGCGAGGAUUCGGUGAACGGGCAGGCGGACAUUCCGGUGAACAGCGACUCCCGUGGAUCAGCUGCCCAGGAUCGAUGCACAGCUGGCGCAGUCACAGCAUGUUGUCGCGAAGUAUUCGGGUCUCGGUGGGCAGGGUGGUAAUCUUGGUGAUGAUAAGGAGCUUGAUCAAUUCAUGACUCAUUAUGUUCUGUUGCUUUGUUCUUUUAAAGAGCAACUGCAACAACAUGUUUGUGUUCACGCUAUGGAAACUGUUAUCGCGUGUUGGCAGAUCGAGCAGUCGUUAAAGAGCUUCACAGGUUUUGUGGCUUUGUUGGUUUGGAUUUCGGUUUGAUAUUUGUUCAUGUUGUUUGAUGAUGAUGAUGAUGAUGAUGGUUGAAGGAACGGGUGCGACAAUGUCGGAUGAUGAUGAUGAUCAAGUGGACAGGCAACGGUGAUGCAAAUUUGUUUGAUGGGAUGGGUUGUUUUUGUUUUGUUUUAUACUUUUAUGUAUGGAGAUCAUGUUUUGCACAAAUGGAACAUAAUUGUUAUCGAGUUUUGAACA